RNAcentral lists this long non-coding RNA (247 nucleotides) under Lathyrus oleraceus (garden pea). RNAcentral's name for it is "Pisum sativum (pea) long non-coding RNA (PSAT_LNC007553)". Lineage: Eukaryota; Viridiplantae; Streptophyta; Magnoliopsida; Fabales; Fabaceae. The record is from RNAcentral.
UACAUUCCUCUGGGAAGAUUGCUCUCUGAUGUCUUCAUUGAGCAUGGCUUGGUAGAUGAUCUGGAGAAGACCAGAUGUAUGGAUGAUCUGGCAAUUGAUGUGGGAAAGCCUCUGAAUGCCAAAAAUCUGAGGAGUAUGGGAAUCAUCAAAGACAUCAGAGUCAAGCCCACUAUGGAAGUGACCUGGGAAGCUCUGAAGGAUCAGAGGAAGAUGCCUCAUGGCCUUGAAAGGUUCUUCAAGAAUGAAC